UAUAUCGCAAAUACAAAGUGUCGACAGUGCAUAAGCAAAAUAUGAAAUUAUAACUGGUAUAAGAUAUUGUAAUAUAAGUCGUAAAAUAAUAGUAACGUGCAUCGAUCCACACCAAUCAAAGAUAUAUCCAUUCUAACAAGGAUCAACGAGUACUUUUUACAGGUAUACAAGGCAAGUGAACACACAUAUAUUUUACACUCUAUGAUAAAUUAUCAACUCCGUACUCAACUAAUAAUAUUCUGUAGUAGAAAUAAAAAUAAUGUAAUAUAAGUGCCGAUAGCGUAUAGUGUAUACCAUCAUAAUUCUCCAUACCCUGCGUAAUUUUCCGCCUUACUCCGCACUACCCCGUCUACCCAUCUCUCUCGAUAAUACAUUUUUAUCGCACUACAGAUUGGGCAGGACCGGCUCACGGAAAAAUAGUGGACUAGGCAAAAUUUGAUUUUGCCGCUCUUAAGUCUUAACAAUAGAGUAUUAUCAGUAUUUUAAAAAUGCCGCCCUCUUACUAUCUGAUUGAGAUGUAGGAGUUUGAUAUGAGAUUGAAUAUUUUAUUAUUGGUUGGGUUGCAGGGUAGAGUGAUCAUGUACAUUGAAACUGGCCUUCCAUUUUUGGGAAUUGCCUUAUGUGGAUGUUUCAAAGCCUAGCCGGGAAGUUCGGCUUGAAUGUCGUUUACUGGGUGUGUUGCUGGGUAUUCCUUGGAUCCGAGGGAUCUGUCCGCUAGUAAAGAGAAAGUGUGGAAUGGUAUUUUGACCAUUUUCACGACGGCUUAAACUUACCUAAAAGGGGCAAAGGAAAUAAAAACAUGAUUUUGGGGGGCAGCAUUCAUAAUUUUUUUGUUAGUUUGUGUGCUUUUAAAAAUAUUUUGGAAAAUAUUUCUUGUGGUUGUUUGAAAAAUUGUGAUUCGGCUUAUGAGUUAUGGCUAUUGGAAACAAGGGAUGGACUGCUCGGUUGCAUGUAAAACAUGCUACGGUGAAUGAUGCUUAAAUGCUCCUACCGACAUUCAACCAGAUGACCAGUUAGCGAUUCCGAUUAAGAUCACGAAGACGUAACAACAACAAAGCGGAAAAAAUUUCAGUUAAAAAUGUAUGAUUACGAAAAGGAAACGAAAGGGGAAAAAAGAAGAAAUACAAUUUUAAAAUCUUAUUUACAAAAGAUUAAAUUAAGUACUGCAGACAAUAUCUACAGAGAAGAAUGAAUAUAAAAAAAAUAAAAGGUUAUAUCAAUGUUAUAAAAAAUAUCAAAAGAGGUAAGUUAUUAAUAAAAAAAUAUUUUAGCAAUACUAGGUAUUAACAGUAUAACACGAAACUAAACAUAUAAUAUGUAUAUUAUGUUUUUUGGGCAAGAAGGGACGAAACUUUAGUAUUUU
Metopolophium dirhodum (rose-grain aphid) is the source of this 1363-nucleotide long non-coding RNA. RefSeq lists it as uncharacterized. Lineage: Eukaryota; Metazoa; Arthropoda; Insecta; Hemiptera; Aphididae. The record is from RefSeq and is a predicted model, not a curated record. The transcript is spliced from 3 exons.